Molecule: transfer RNA, 74 nt
Filed under: Candidatus Pacearchaeota archaeon
Lineage: Archaea; Nanobdellati
Description: tRNA-Lys
Rfam family: tRNA
About the family: Transfer RNA (tRNA) molecules are approximately 80 nucleotides in length. Their secondary structure includes four short double-helical elements and three loops (D, anti-codon, and T loops). Further hydrogen bonds mediate the characteristic L-shaped molecular structure. tRNAs have two regions of fundamental functional importance: the anti-codon, which is responsible for specific mRNA codon recognition, and the 3' end, to which the tRNAs corresponding amino acid is attached (by aminoacyl-tRNA synthetases). tRNAs cope with the degeneracy of the genetic code in two manners: having more than one tRNA (with a specific anti-codon) for a particular amino acid; and 'wobble' base-pairing, i.e. permitting non-standard base-pairing at the 3rd anti-codon position.
Source: RNAcentral
GGGGCCGUAGCUCAGCUGGAUAGAGCACCUGACUUUUAAUCAGGGUGUCGUGGGUUCGAAUCCCAUCGGCCUCA